RNAcentral lists this ribosomal RNA (793 nucleotides) under uncultured Methanosaeta sp. Its description in RNAcentral is "bacterial SSU rRNA". It matches the Rfam family "Archaeal small subunit ribosomal RNA", at positions 85 to 879 of the family's 1478-position model. The record is from RNAcentral. Lineage: Archaea; Methanobacteriati; Methanobacteriota; Methanomicrobia; Methanotrichales; Methanotrichaceae.
ACUGCUCAGUAACACGUGGAUAACCUACCCUUGGGACGGGAAUAAACCCGGGAAACUGGGUGUAAUACCCGAUAGUUCUCGAAUGCUGGAAUGCGUCGAGGUCGAAAGCUCCGGCGCCCAAGGAUGGGUCUGCGGCCUAUCAGGUAGUAGUGGGUGUAACGGACCUACUAGCCUACAACGGGUACGGGUUGUGAGAGCAAGAGCCCGGAGAUGGAUUCUGAGACACGAAUCCAGGCCCUACGGGGUGCAGCAGGCGCGAAACCUUUACAAUGCUGGAAACAGCGAUAGGGGGACCUCGAGUGCCAUCGUACAACGGUGGCUGUCGUUGUGCCUAAAAAGCAUAAUAUAGCAAGGGCCGGGCAAGACCGGUGCCAGCCGCCGCGGUAACACCGGCGGCUCGAGUGGUAACCGUUAUUAUUGGGUUUAAAGGGUCUGUAGCCGGCCGGAUAAGUCUCUUGAGAAAUCUGGCAGCUCAACUGUCAGGCUUUCAGGAGAUACUGUUUGGCUCGAGACCGGAAGAGGUGAGAGGUACUUCAGGGGUAGGGGUGAAAUCUUGUAAUCCUUGAAGGACCACCAGUGGCGAAGGCGUCUCACCAGAACGGAUCUGACGGCAAGGGACGAAAGCUAGGGGCACGAACCGGAUUAGAUACCCGGGUAGUCCUAGCCGUAAACGAUACCCGCUAGGUGUCGGCCACGGUGCGACCGUGGUCGGUGCCGUANGGAAACCGUGAAGCGAGCCACCUGGGAAGUACGGCCGCAAGGCUGAAACUUAAAGGAAUUGGCGGGGGAGCAC